Molecule: non-coding RNA, 443 nt
Organism: Thamnophis sirtalis
Lineage: Eukaryota; Metazoa; Chordata; Lepidosauria; Squamata; Natricidae
Source: RefSeq, a predicted model, not a curated record
UCGCUCAGCCGCCGCGGGGCAGAGCCUGGGUUGGUCACCGUGCCCACUCCGUAGGGCAGAGCCCCUGCCUCUUCGCUCACACUGCUCCAGGCCCCCGGGACCGGCUGGAGCUACCCGACCGAUUCCUCCCGGUUGCUGUGCGAGCGACGGUGGCAAUGGCGUCGGAAUCUCGCAACGGAUCCCCCAACUGAGCCCGCUGUCCCGACCCAGCCGGCACCGGUGGAUUGGUUUCAUUUGGAUUAAUCAGUUUGGAGCAAAAGGACAUGACUGAAAUAUCUUUUCAGAGGAAAUGUUACCAGCUUGGCUGUUAGCAACUCCAAAAGUGAGAUUCCUAUGAAGAGCUCAGAGAAAAGCAUUUUGAAGUAUAUGCCCAGCAAAACUCAUCUCAUCUCAAGGGUGUUAUUCACCUCUCUUCUGCCUCUGCCUAUGAGUUUGGUCAGCCA